RNAcentral lists this ribosomal RNA (253 nucleotides) under uncultured bacterium. Its description in RNAcentral is "partial 16S ribosomal RNA". It matches the Rfam family "Bacterial small subunit ribosomal RNA", at positions 524 to 776 of the family's 1533-position model. The record is from RNAcentral.
UACGUAGGGGGCUAGCGUUGCUCGGAAUCACUGGGCGUAAAGCGCACGUAGGCGGAUCGUUAAGUCAGGGGUGAAAUCCUGGAGCUCAACUCCAGAACUGCCUUUGAUACUGGCGACCUUGAGUUCGGGAGAGGUGAGUGGAACUGCGAGUGUAGAGGUGAAAUUCGUAGAUAUUCGCAAGAACACCAGUGGCGAAGGCGGCUCACUGGCUCGGUACUGACGCUGAGGUGCGAAAGCGUGGGGAGCAAACAAG